AGUAACGCGUGGAUAAUCUGCCCUAUGAUCGGAAAUACAGUUGAAACGGCUGCUAAUACCGGAUACGCUCAAGAUGAACUUUUUGAGGAAAGAUGGCCUCUGCUUGCAUGCUAAUCGCAUAGGGAUGAGUCCGCGUCCCAUUAGCUUGUUGGCGGGGUAACGGCCCACCAAGGCAACGAUGGGUAGCCGAUUUGAGAGGAUGAUCGGCCACACUGGAACUGAAACACGGUCCAGACUCCUACGGGAGGCAGCAGUGGGGAAUAUUGCGCAAUGGGCGAAAGCCUGACGCAGCGACGCCGCGUGAGGGAAUGAAGGUUUUCGGAUCGUAAACCUCUGUCAGUAAGGGAAGAAACUACGUUGUGCUAAUCAGCUAGCGUACUGACGGUACCUUCAAAGGACGCACCGGCUAACUCCGUGCCAGCCGCCGC
RNAcentral lists this ribosomal RNA (428 nucleotides) under uncultured bacterium. RNAcentral describes it as "bacterial SSU rRNA". It matches the Rfam family "Bacterial small subunit ribosomal RNA", at positions 109 to 518 of the family's 1533-position model. The record is from RNAcentral.